This 460-nucleotide ribosomal RNA is filed under the name uncultured bacterium. RNAcentral describes it as "partial 16S ribosomal RNA". It matches the Rfam family "Bacterial small subunit ribosomal RNA", at positions 338 to 795 of the family's 1533-position model. The record is from RNAcentral.
CCUACGGGUGGCAGCAGUGAGGAAUAUUGGUCAAUGGACGAGAGUCUGAACCAGCCAAGUAGCGUGAAGGAUGACUGCCCUAUGGGUUGUAAACUUCUUUUAUCUGGGAAUAAAAUGUUCCACGUGUGGGAUUUUGUAUGUACCAUAUGAAUAAGGAUCGGCUAACUCCGUGCCAGCAGCUGCGGUAAUACGGAGGAGCCGAGCGUUAUCCGGAUUUAUUGGGUUUAAAGGGAGCGUAGGUGGAUUGUUAAGUCAGUUGUGAAAGUUUGCGGCUCAACCGUAAAAUUGCAGUUGAAACUGGCAGUCUUGAGUACAGUAGCGGUGGGCGGAAUUCGUGGUGUAGCGGUGAAAUGCUUAGAUAUCACGAAGAACUCCGAUUGCGAAGGCAGUUCACUGGACUGCAACUGACACUGAGGCUCGAAAGUGUGGGUAUCAAACAGGAUUAGAUACCCCUGUAGUC